This is a non-coding RNA of Camelina sativa (false flax), 828 nucleotides long. The record is from RefSeq and is a predicted model, not a curated record. NCBI's taxonomy places the organism in Eukaryota, Viridiplantae, Streptophyta, Magnoliopsida, Brassicales, Brassicaceae.
UGGAAUUCUUUGUUUUUUAGAAAAGUAUGAACAUGGAAAAUAUGCUUUGCUCAGGAAAUAGGGAAACUGUGUUGUUGUUGCAACAGGCACGUGGGUGCAUGACAUUUACUGGAUGAUAAUUGCUUGGGAGAGAUCUACUUUAGCUGCUAACACUCGCAAAAUCAACGUGUAAUACGAAUUUGGUGUCAGGCAAACUAAGUAGGUGGGAUUUCUAUUCAGCUAGCUGACUCCAAUCACAAUGCUUUGCACACGAGUGCAUGAUCCUAGUCUUUAAUCAGGAUUCAAAUACGCUUCCUAUUUGUACAUAUUUGACAAGAAAAGAAGCAUCCGAGAAGUACAGUAAUAUUACCAGUUGUAGCAUCUUUCAAUGGCUCUUUGCUAUUCUCCCGGAACUUAUGAUGCAUCCAGCCCCAAAACUGCCAGAAAAUAAGCUUUGUGGUGACCAACACCAAGAAAGCUACAAAAUUUUGGUUGGCCGUUCUCUAUCAAGAUCACAUCAAGAUCAAGUUGGAGGGCCAUUACAGAUGAGCCCCUACUGUUGUGGUUACAUGACGCGCAAAUUCAUUGGUGGAGUAGCUAUCCUUAAUUACAAUCAUCAAUCAUCUCAGAGAGUACUGCAUUGUUGAUCUUGCUGUCUCCGACAAGAAGAAAAUGCAUUUGGAUUGAUGACCAUCCUGCAGAAAAGUAAAGAAAGAGUACUUUUUCCAGGAAGCAUAUGGGAGCUCCGUGACAAAACAAGGAAGACUUUGGGGCUAGUUGAUUCAGACAAGUGAAGCUGUCCACGACAUCAGGGAAGCAUCUUGGGAUGAAACAAAGGAACAAACAGAA